GAAUAUUGCACAAUGGAGGAAACUCUGAUGCAGCGACGCCGCGUGAGUGAUGAAGGCCUUCGGGUUGUAAAGCUCUGUUCUUAGGGAAUAAAAAAAUGAAGGUACCUAAGAAGAAAGGACCGGCUAACUUCGUGCCAGCAGCCGCGGUACGACGAGGGGUCCAAGCGUUGUUCGGAAUCAUUUGGCGUAAAGCGGGUGUAGGCGGCCUUGCAAGUCAGAAGUGAAAGCCCUGGGCUCAACCCAGGAAGUGCUUUUGAAACGGCAGGGCUUGAGUGUGGGAGAGGAUAGUGGAAUUCCAGGUGUAGUGGUGAAAUACGUAGAGAUCUGGAGGAACACCGGUGGCGAAGGCGGCUAUCUGGCCCAACACUGACGCUCAGACCCGAAAGCGUGGGGAUCAAACAGG
RNAcentral lists this ribosomal RNA (403 nucleotides) under uncultured bacterium. RNAcentral's name for it is "bacterial SSU rRNA". It matches the Rfam family "Bacterial small subunit ribosomal RNA", at positions 359 to 776 of the family's 1533-position model. The record is from RNAcentral.